UACGGGGGGGGGCAAGCGUUGUUCGGAAUUACUGGGCGUAAAGGGCUCGUAGGCGGCCAACUAAGUCAGACGUGAAAUCCCUAGGCUCAACCUAGGAACUGCGUCUGAUACUGGAUGGCUUGAAUUCGGGAGAGGGAUGCAGAAUUCCAGGUGUAGCGGUGAAAUGCGUAGAUAUCUGGAGGAAUACCGGUGGCGAAGGCGGCAUCCUGGACCGAGAUUGACACUGAUGAGCGAAAGCCAGGGGAGCAAACGGG
This 254-nucleotide ribosomal RNA is filed under the name uncultured bacterium. RNAcentral's name for it is "partial 16S ribosomal RNA". It matches the Rfam family "Bacterial small subunit ribosomal RNA", at positions 524 to 776 of the family's 1533-position model. The record is from RNAcentral.